GUGCUGGGAAAGGCUGGCUGGGGUCCCUGCCUCUCUCCAUCACCAUUUAUCUCCCAAUCUAUGAACCUGUGAGAGCAAUCAGAGAGGAGAGCUGCCCUCUCUAUCAAAAGUGGUGCCUGAGGGAGCUGAGGGACAGAAAGACGGAGAUGUCAUGUGAAUUGCAUGUCUCGCCUGGCCUAGCCUGUUUAGCCAAGGAUGGCAGGGACAGGAAGCAGGGUGAAUGUCACAGUCCAGCUGCCUACUUUGCUGUGAGAGUCUCAUGGCUCCCUGAUGGAUAUGGAAGGGAAGGUUCUGCUAACUCUGAGUCCGAAGGCUGCCAGGGACAAUCUGGAGAGGGUCAACCAACAUCCCAACAAUUGCUUCCCUGAUGGUAACUGAGACCCAGGUCCACAGGACCAGAUCACAAAGGCCUCAUGCUCCUAGCGAGCAGCAAUUCACAAUGGAAAGCACAUAAGACAUACUGAUAACACAGAGAGCCAACGACAGAGAAGAUACAAACUGAGUUUCCAAGCCAGCUCAGUCUACAUGAGUUCUGUCAGCUCUAGAUGCCCCACCAGUCUAGGGUUGCAUACAAGGUACAUUUCGAUGUAGCUGAACAUCCUGAAUUUUGACAUGUUCAGUUGCCUGCCUGGUUUUGUUGUUGUUGUUCUUUGUUGUUUGUUUGUUUGGUAAAUAAAGUUUUAUUGGAAC
RNAcentral lists this long non-coding RNA (690 nucleotides) under Mus pahari (shrew mouse). RNAcentral describes it as "predicted gene 11959 (MGP_PahariEiJ_G0004450.1)". The record is from RNAcentral. Lineage: Eukaryota; Metazoa; Chordata; Mammalia; Rodentia; Muridae.